Molecule: long non-coding RNA, 2188 nt
Organism: Rhinopithecus roxellana (golden snub-nosed monkey)
Lineage: Eukaryota; Metazoa; Chordata; Mammalia; Primates; Cercopithecidae
Exons: 2
Source: RefSeq, a predicted model, not a curated record
UUCUGGGAGCUGUAGUGCCCGCGCGCGGCGGCGAGGGGCGCUGCCUCUUUAGCUAAGCCGUUAGCGCCCAGCCCGCCCGAGUGCGGGUCGCGGGCGGCGGCGGCGGCACCCCUGCCAGUGAGCCCUUGUCCGAAGUGGGCCACGGCAUUGACUCGGGGCUGCCCGGGGACCAGGCACUGAGGAGGAAGCUGCGCGCGCGAGGCGAGGGUGAUGGGGCCGAGAAGAACCGGGGCGAUAUAGCGCGGCAGCGGUGACAGCUGGGAUCCGCCGCGGUCGGGUUGCCCCCUCCCCUCGCCCCGACCGCUCCCCUGCUGGUGAGGGCCGGCGGAGGCGGCGGCGGCGGCGGCGCCCCUGGUGGCAGUGGUGGUGGUGGCGGUAGCGGGGCAGCCCCCCGGGAUCGUGUCCGGGGCUCGAGGAGUGGGUGGCGCCCGGAGAGCUAUGCGCGGGGGCGGCGGCGUCUCCUCCUGUUCCGCCUUCUCAGUCUUCUCCUCCUCAGUCUCAUCGGUCCCGCAGAAUCCGCCGGCGGAGGCGGCGGCGGCGCCGGCGCCGGAGCUCGAGAACAUCAUGGCCAACUCGCUGCUGCUGAAAGCGCGUCAAGUCCUCUGCCUCCCGCCACAAAAGCAUCAGUUGGUCCAACCCUUCAGCGGGAGAACCCCGCAAUCCUCUCUCUCGGACCUCAUGUCUCCCUUGCUUGCCUCUCAAGAGAGCUAGUGACAGAGCUUCGGACCUCAAGUCCCCCUGUGCCAGCCACAGUAGUUCUUCACACCACGUCACUCUUAUGGAAUUGCUGAUUUCCUCUAUUUCCUUGUGUAAUGGAGAAGCUCUGCUUGGAUUUUGUGCUCCAGGACAGGGUAAAUGCCGACUGAAGAUGUGACACCAGCCAGCGCUGCAUACUUAAAGAACAAUCUGGAGCCGAAGGUGGCAGCCACACUUGUAGUCCCAGCUACUCUGGAAGCUGAAGUGGAAGGCUUGCUUGGGCCCAGGAGAGUCCAGCCUGGGCAAAAGAGCAAGACCAUCUCUUUAAAAAAGUCUGAAACAAAGACUUCAUCUUCUCAGUAUUUUUAUGCACCAACUCACACUAUUUUGAAUAGAAGAACUGAGAACGGGUGGGACGAGAAUGGGAUCUUUUUCCCUUAAGACAAUCAGGGAGUCCCAGAGCAGUAUGCGUUCUCAGCAGCCAUUUUCAGUGGAGCACUUGACUGUGCCUCUUGUCCCUCACUCUGAACUCCAAAUUGGUCAUGGAAGAGAAUCAUCCUUCGUGGAAGUCAGAUUGACGCUAAACCAGUUUUCUUUUUACACUACCUAUCUGCAUGUAACUUACAAAAAGGAAUUAUACCAACCCGCCUUCCUUAUAAUGCAGCAGAGAUCAGAUAAUGAGGUAAAUGUAAGUGCUCUAUAAAUACUAAAUAAUAUAAAACCAGAUUCUGCCACAAAGCCUGGGACCACAGUGAUAGUUUGAAAAAUGAAAGUUUUGGCCAGGCGCAGUGGCUCACGACUGUAAUCCCAGCACUUCGGGAGGCCAAGGCAGGCGGAUCACGGGGUCAGGAGAUCAAGACCAUUCUGGCUAACAAGGUGAAAUCCUGUCUCUACUAAAUAUACAAAAAUUAGCCAGGCAUGGUGGCAGGCACCUGUAGUCCCAGCUACACGGGAGGCUGAGGCAGGAGAAUGGCGUGAACCCGGGAGGUGGAGCUUGCAGUGAGCCAAGAUUGUGUCAUGCGCUCCAGCCUGAGUGACAGAGCGAGACUCUGUCUUGGGGAAAAAAAAGAAAGUUUUAAUUUUUUCCCUGAAAUAUCUCAUAUUAACUUCGUGGUAGUGUGAUUAUGAGGUCUGUCCCCAUUGAGUGAGAGUAUUUGCUCCUGUAGUCAGAAAGAGUCAUUAUGUACAGCUUGAUUAAUGGUUAGAGAAGUUGAAUAUAUAAUAUUAGAAAUACAUGGAUCCAUGCUGAGUGUUGGUUAUAAUUUAGGGCUUUUUUCCAAGUUGAUGACUGGGUUUGUUACUUUAAAGUAUCUCCCAGGAUGUACCAGGAGGUGUCUUCUUGUACAUAUAACUUCAUGGACAGCUCCUUGUUUAACUUCUCUGGCUCAUGUACUAGAAAAUUAAUCUUUGAAAUGAAUGAACAUAGCACAAGAGUUAUAUUCUGGUCCUGAGAAGUACAAUGUUGAUUUAAUAUUUUUAGUGAGUCCAGUCA